AUUGAACGCUGGCGGCAUGCCUUACACAUGCAAGUCGAACGGCAGCACGGGUGCUUGCACCUGGUGGCGAGUGGCGAACGGGUGAGUAAUACAUCGGAACGUACCUUAUCGUGGGGGAUAACGCAGCGAAAGCUGUGCUAAUACCGCAUACGCCCUGAGGGGGAAAGCGGGGGAUCGAAAGACCUCGCGCGAUUAGAGCGGCCGAUGCCUGAUUAGCUUGUUGGUGGGGUAAAAGCCCACCAAGGCGACGAUCAGUAGCUGGUCUGAGAGGACGAUCAGCCACACUGGGACUGAGACACGGCCCAGACUCCUGCGGGAGGCAGCAGUGGGGAAUUUUGGAAAAUGGGGGCAACCCUGAUCCAGCAAUGCCGCGUGAGUGAAGAAGGCCUUCGGGUUGUAAAGCUCUUUUGUCAGGGAAGAAACACCGGCUCUAACACAGUCCGGGAAUGACGGUACCUGAAGAAUAAGCACCGGCUAACUACGUGCCAGCAGCCGCAGUAA
Molecule: ribosomal RNA, 501 nt
Filed under: uncultured bacterium
Lineage: Bacteria
Description: partial 16S ribosomal RNA
Rfam family: Bacterial small subunit ribosomal RNA
Source: RNAcentral